GAUGAACGCUGGCGGCGUGCCUAAUACAUGCAAGUCGAGCGAACGGACGAGAAGCUUGCUUCUCUGAUGUUAGCGGCGGACGGGUGAGUAACACGUGGAUACCCUACCUAUCAGACUGGGAUAACUUCGGGAAACCGGAGCUAAUACCGGAUAAUAUUUUGAACCGCAUGGUUCAAAAGUGAAAGACGGUCUUGCUGUCACUUAUAGCUGGAUCCGCGCUGCAUUAGCUAGUUGGUAAGGUAACGGCUUACCAAGGCAACGAUGCAUAGCCGACCUGAGAGGGUGAUCGGCCACACUGGAACUGAGACACGGUCCAGACUCCUACGGGAGGCAGCAGUAGGGAAUCUUCCGCAAUGGGCGAAAGCCUGACGGAGCAACGCCGCGUGAGUGAUGAAGGUCUUCGGAUCGUAAAACUCUGUUAUUAGGGAAGAACAUAUGUGUAAGUAACUGUGCACAUCGUGACGGUACCUAAUCAGAAAGCCACGGCUAACUACGUG
Molecule: ribosomal RNA, 497 nt
Filed under: uncultured bacterium
Lineage: Bacteria
Description: partial 16S ribosomal RNA
Rfam family: Bacterial small subunit ribosomal RNA
Source: RNAcentral